RNAcentral lists this ribosomal RNA (504 nucleotides) under uncultured bacterium. Its description in RNAcentral is "bacterial SSU rRNA". It matches the Rfam family "Bacterial small subunit ribosomal RNA", at positions 9 to 526 of the family's 1533-position model. The record is from RNAcentral.
GCGAGUUUGAUCAUGGCUCAGGACGAACGCUGGCGGCGUGCUUAACACAUGCAAGUCGAGCGGUGAAGUCCCUUCGGGGGCGGAUCAGCGGCGAACGGGUGAGUAACACGUGGGCAACCUGCCCUUAGCUCCGGGAUAACUCCGAGAAAUCGGGGCUAAUACCGGUUAUGACCUUCGACGGCAUCUUCGAAGGUGGAAAGCUCCGGCGGCUAAGGAUGGGCCCGCGGCCUAUCAGCUUGUUGGUGGGGUAAUGGCCCACCAAGGCGACGACGGGUAGCCGGCCUGAGAGGGCGACCGGCCACACUGGGACCGAGACACGGCCCAGACUCCUACGGGAGGCAGCAGUGGGGAAUAUUGCGCAAUGGGCGAAAGCCUGACGCAGCGACGCCGCGUGAGGGAUGAAGGCCUUCGGGUUGUAAACCUCUUUCAGCAGGGACGAAGCGAAAGUGACUGUACCUGCAGAAGAAGCACCGGCUAACUACGUGCCAGCAGCCGCGGUAAUAA